AAAUGCGAUAAGUAAUGUGAAUUGCAGAAUUCAGUGAAUCAUCGAAUCUUUGAACGCACCUUGCGCUCCUUGGUAUUCCGAGGAGCAUGCCUGUUUGAGUGUCAUGUAAUCAUCAAACCCCCCUUCCGUUUUGUAAUAAAAGCGGGUCGGACGGUUUGGACUUGGAGGUUAUUAAAUGUUGGCUUUCACGAGUCGACUCCUCUUGAAAACAUUAGUCGGGACUUCGGUCGCUCCGUCGCGGUACGCGGUGUGAUAAUUUAUUCACCCAUCGGUAAACCCGCUUCUUGCGUCCGGCUGGCUUCUAACUCCUGUUUUUUUUUGCGACUCUUUACUGAGUUUUGUAAAAGAAACCAUUUGACAAUCUGGCCUCAAAUCAGGUAGGACUACCCGCUGAACUUAAGCAUAUCAAUAAGCGGAGGAAAAGAAACUAACAAGGAUUCCCCUAGUAACUGCGAGUGAAGCGGGAAAAGCUCAAAUUUAAAAUCUGGCGGUCUUUGGCCGUCCGAGUUGUAAUCUGGAGAAGCGUUUUCCGUGC
This 535-nucleotide ribosomal RNA is filed under the name uncultured fungus. RNAcentral describes it as "eukaryotic LSU rRNA". The stretch from base 364 to 535 matches the Rfam family "Eukaryotic large subunit ribosomal RNA", at positions 1 to 170 of the family's 3401-position model. Lineage: Eukaryota; Fungi. The record is from RNAcentral.